Molecule: ribosomal RNA, 520 nt
Filed under: uncultured bacterium
Lineage: Bacteria
Description: bacterial SSU rRNA
Rfam family: Archaeal small subunit ribosomal RNA
Source: RNAcentral
AACCUCCGCAAUGUGAGAAAUCGCGACGGGGGGAUCCCAAGUGCCAUUCUUAACGGGAUGGCUUUUCAUUAGUGUAAAGAGCUUUUGGAAUAAGGGCUGGGCAAGACCGGUGCCAGCCGCCGCGGUAACACCGGCAGCUCUAGUGGUAGCAGUUUUUAUUGGGCCUAAAGCGUCCGUAGCCGGUUUAAUAAGUCUCUGGUGAAAUCCUGUAGCUUAACUGUAGGAAUUGCUGGAGAUACUAUUAGACUUGAGACCGGGAGAGGUUAGAGGUACUCCCAGGGUAGAGGUGAAAUUCUGUAAUCCUGGGAGGACCGCCUGUUGCGAAGGCGUCUAACUGGAACGGUUCUGACGGUGAGGGACGAAAGUUAGGGGCGCGAACCGGAUUAGAUACCCGGGUAGUCCUAACCGUAAACGAUGCGGACUUGGUGUUGGGUGGCUUUGAGCUGCUCCAGUGCCGAAGGGAAGCUGUUAAGUCCGCCGCCUGGGAAGUACGGUCGCAAGACUGAAACUUAAAGGAAUU